UUGAAGCUUCGGCAGAUUUAGAUUGUUUCUAGUGGCGGACGGGUGAGUAACGCGUGGGUAACCUGCCUUAUACAGGGGGAUAACAGUCAGAAAUGACUGCUAAUACCGCAUAAGCGCACAGGACCGCAUGGUCCGGUGUGAAAAACUCCGGUGGUAUAAGAUGGACCUGCGUUGGAUUAGCUAGUUGGUGAGGUAACGGCCCACCAAGGCGACGAUCCAUAGCCGGCCUGAGAGGGUGAACGGCCACAUUGGGACUGAGACACGGCCCAGACUCCUACGGGAGGCAGCAGUGGGGAAUAUUGCACAAUGGGGGAAACCCUGAUGCAGCGACGCCGCGUGAAGGAAGAAGUAUCUCGGUAUGUAAACUUCUAUCAGCAGGGAAGAAAAUGACGGUACCUGACUAAGAAGCCCCGGCUAACUACGUGCCAGCAGCCGCGGUAAUACGUAGGGGGCAAGCGUUAUCCGGAUUUACUGGGUGUAAAGGGAGCGUAGACGGAUGGACAAGUCUGAUGUGAAAGGCUGGGGCUCAACCCCGGGACUGCAUUGGAAACUGCCCGUCUUGAGUGCCGGAGAGGUAACGCGGAAUUCCCUAGUGUAGCGGUGAAAUGCGUAGAUAUUAGGAGGAACACCAGUGGCGAAGGCGGCUUACUGGACGGUAACUGACGUUGAGGCUCGAAAGCGUGGGGAGCAAACA
This 694-nucleotide ribosomal RNA is filed under the name uncultured Lachnospiraceae bacterium. RNAcentral's name for it is "bacterial SSU rRNA". It matches the Rfam family "Bacterial small subunit ribosomal RNA", at positions 67 to 774 of the family's 1533-position model. The record is from RNAcentral. Lineage: Bacteria; Bacillati; Bacillota; Clostridia; Lachnospirales; Lachnospiraceae.